UACGAAGGGGGCUAGCGUUGCUCGGAAUCACUGGGCGUAAAGAGCGCGUAGGCGGAUCUUUAAGUCGGGGGUGAAAGCCUGUGGCUCAACCACAGAAUUGCCUUCGAUACUGGGGAUCUCGAGACCGGAAGAGGUGAGUGGAACUGCGAGUGUAGAGGUGAAAUUCGUAGAUAUUCGCAAGAACACCAGUGGCGAAGGCGGCUCACUGGUCCGGUUCUGACGCUGAGGCGCGAAAGCGUGGGGAGCAAACAGG
This 253-nucleotide ribosomal RNA is filed under the name uncultured bacterium. RNAcentral's name for it is "partial 16S ribosomal RNA". It matches the Rfam family "Bacterial small subunit ribosomal RNA", at positions 524 to 776 of the family's 1533-position model. The record is from RNAcentral.